UUUGCAGGGUGGCUGGACAGCAGUUUGACAGUUGGCUCAGGGGCGCUGUGAAGCGGCAGGGAGAUCGGAGGAUGGGGUGGCUUCAGGAGCUGGACAGUUGGCUCUGGGGACUGCAGGCGGCAGCUGGUUGGCCAAGCUGUGCCGUGAAGCGGCAGGGAGCAGGGAGCUGGGCGACAGUCUCUGGCAGUGGCAGGGGGAAGCAAGGACUGUGAGACAGAUAGAAAGACAGAGGACAGAGAGAGAGGUGGAGAUAUCCUGCCUAAUCACCAUAACCAGGAAAUGCUGGAAAUCGAUCUUGUCUCCUAUGAGCAGCUGCAACUGCCGCCGCUCAAGCAAACAAUAAAGGUUUUAAACAGGAAA
Hemicordylus capensis (graceful crag lizard) is the source of this 360-nucleotide long non-coding RNA. RefSeq lists it as uncharacterized. NCBI's taxonomy places the organism in Eukaryota, Metazoa, Chordata, Lepidosauria, Squamata, Cordylidae. The transcript is spliced from 2 exons. The record is from RefSeq and is a predicted model, not a curated record.